Molecule: small RNA, 106 nt
Filed under: Marmota monax (woodchuck)
Lineage: Eukaryota; Metazoa; Chordata; Mammalia; Rodentia; Sciuridae
Source: RNAcentral
ACCAGGUAUGGUGAAGCACACCUGUAAUCCCAUCUACUCAGGAGGCUUAGACAGGAGGAUCACAAGUUCAAGGUCAGCCUCAGCACUUAGUGAGACCCUGUCUCAA